GAUGAACGCUGGCGGCGUGCCUAAUACAUGCAAGUCGAGCGAACAGACGAGGAGCUUGCUCCUCUGACGUUAGCGGCGGACGGGUGAGUAACACGUGGAUAACCUACCUAUAAGACUGGGAUAACUUCGGGAAACCGGAGCUAAUACCGGAUAAUAUAUUGAACCGCAUGGUUCAAUAGUGAAAGACGGUUUUGCUGUCACUUAUAGAUGGAUCCGCGCCGCAUUAGCCAGUUGGUAAGGUAACGGCUUACCAAGGCAACGAUGCGUAGCCGACCUGAGAGGGUGAUCGGCCACACUGGAACUGAGACACGGUCCAGACUCCUACGGGAGGCAGCAGUAGGGAAUCUUCCGCAAUGGGCGAAAGCUUGACGGAGCAACGCCGCGUGAGUGAUGAAGGUCUUCGGAUCGUAAAACUCUGUUAUUAGGGAAGAACAAAUGUGUAAGUAACUAUGCACGUCUUGACGGUACCUAAUCAGAAAGCCACGGCUAACUACGUG
RNAcentral lists this ribosomal RNA (497 nucleotides) under uncultured bacterium. RNAcentral's name for it is "partial 16S ribosomal RNA". It matches the Rfam family "Bacterial small subunit ribosomal RNA", at positions 28 to 507 of the family's 1533-position model. The record is from RNAcentral.